Non-coding RNA from Caenorhabditis elegans, 19 nucleotides. Lineage: Eukaryota; Metazoa; Nematoda; Chromadorea; Rhabditida; Rhabditidae. The record is from Ensembl.
GAAUAGAUAUCCGGUAUGA